Molecule: non-coding RNA, 633 nt
Organism: Cherax quadricarinatus
Lineage: Eukaryota; Metazoa; Arthropoda; Malacostraca; Decapoda; Parastacidae
Source: RefSeq, a predicted model, not a curated record
AGCAGCAAGCUGUGUGGUUGGCUGGAUCAUGUGUCCCAGGACAUAUCAGGAAAGUAUCGCCCUUGCUGAUGCUGACCCCACUGACAUCUGGGUCAGUCUUUGAUGUGGCAUUCACUUCACACACAGACGCCCCUAUAUAUUGGCCCCACCCAGAAGCUCUAUGACUCUUCGCAUUCGUCUUCGUCUGUCUAAUAAGUUGAAACCAUUACCACAAUCCCCAGAAACACUACCCCAGAACGAGGGAGCAAAGAACUAUACAAGAAUCUAUGUGAUAACGCUUCUAGCUGGUGCUCAGAAGACCAGCUGGCUCUGUUCACGAAGCAGGAAGUACCUGGAUAUGAGCCAACUGUUGUGGGUUGCAUCUUGAACCAGAGUAAACGACAAGCUUGAAAAUGCGCAGAAAAAAAACGAAUAUAACAAGAAAGCUGGUUUGAGACCACGCCCACCCUGGUUAACCAGUUAGUCGAGAGGCCUGGCCCGAGGUCUGGACCGAGGUCUGGACCGAGGUCUGGACCGAGGUCUGACCCGAGGUCUGGCCCGAGGUCUGGCCCGAGGUCUGGCCCGAGGUCUGACCCGAGGUCUGGCCCGAGGUCUGGCCCGAGGCCUGGCCCGGGGCCUGGCCCUGGCCUUAUG